GAUGAACGCUGGCGGCGUGCUUAACACAUGCAAGUCGAACGAGAAAUGUAGACGGAAACCUUCGGGCGGAAGCCUUCAUUUCGAGUGGCGGACGGGUGAGUAACGCGUGGGUAACCUGCCUCAUACAGGGGGAUAACAGUUGGAAACGACUGUUAAUACCGCAUAAGACCACAGCAUCGCAUGAUGCGGGGGUAAAAACUCCGGUGGUAUGAGAUGGACCCGCGUUCGAUUAGCCAGUUGGCGGGGUAACGGCCCACCAAAGCGACGAUCGAUAGCCGAUCUGAGAGGAUGACCGGCCACAUUGGGACUGAGACACGGCCCAAACUCCUACGGGAGGCAGCAGUGGGGAAUAAUGCACAAUGGGGGAAACCCUGAUGCAGCGACGCCGCGUGAGUGAAGAAGUACUUCGGUAUGUAAAGCUCUAUCAGCAGGGAAGAAAAUGACGGUACCUGAGUAAGAAGCCCCGGCUAACUACGUG
RNAcentral lists this ribosomal RNA (478 nucleotides) under uncultured bacterium. RNAcentral describes it as "partial 16S ribosomal RNA". It matches the Rfam family "Bacterial small subunit ribosomal RNA", at positions 28 to 507 of the family's 1533-position model. The record is from RNAcentral.